CACACACACACACAUAUAUAUAAUAAUAGCAUUGCAAUUAGAGAUGCAAAAUGAUCAUUGAUUAAAUCAUGCCAUAGCAAGAACAAGCUGCCAAUUUCCAUACACCAUUUAAGAAACACUUGAAACAAGCAAAAGAGAAGCAAUCUGAGAGAAUCAAGAAAGAACCACAUAAAGUCAAGGGAGAUAAAGACCUAGCAAGCACUAGCACUUCAGCUUUUACAGCAUGAAGACGGGAAUUGGCAUAAGCAGCAGCUGAAUUAAGCAGUUUCAACUUCCAAAGGAGAGUUUCCCUUGGAAUGAUAUCAGCCAAACCCUGAAAUCAAACACAUAAAUAUCCAUGGGUAGCCUAAAAAAUAAUAUUUAAACCAAGCAAAUGAAUCAUAAUAAUCUGAAUGCACAUUAGGAAUCAAGUUGUUUCAGAUCAGACCAACAACAGGUCUUAGUCUGUGAAUUACAAAACCUGAAAAUCACCUAUCUUAUUUAUGUAGCACGUGUUUCCCUUUAUUUUAACAAGAUAGCACAGUACUCAAUUAACUUGUGCCUUUCCAGUUUCCACUAUGAAAGGACACAGUUUAUCAUAACAGAAGAUCUAGUUAUUGGAGACUAAAGAGUGUAAAAAGAGACCAAAAGCAAUAAAAACAAAACAGAACAAGUGCAGAAACUAGGCAGUGCAGUUCUUACAGAAAGAAGAGGUAGCAAAGUAGUGAGAUUGCUGGACAGUUGUUCAAUUUUUGAUUUGGGAGGAAGCCUAUAUUCGAUAUCAACCAUUGCCAUCUUCAGUGGAUC
This 786-nucleotide unclassified non-coding RNA is filed under the name Hevea brasiliensis (rubber tree). The record is from RNAcentral. Lineage: Eukaryota; Viridiplantae; Streptophyta; Magnoliopsida; Malpighiales; Euphorbiaceae.